CACCUGGCCCCUCCCAAGAGGGGAGGCUCCUCUCUCAGAACUCAGAAUCUUCCUUUCAUCUCCUUCUUCCCAAAGAGAGACCAUCCCCACAUCCUUCCAGGCAGGCUAGGGGUCUCCAUAGCGCAGGAUUGGACCAUCUGCUUGGCGUGCAGGUCUUCCGUCGUGGGCUGCAUCUCCGGGGGGGGGGGCUGACAAUGUGUCCCCCCCCCGUCCGAACCCCUGGAGAACUGCUGCCGGUCAGUGAAGGCGAUGCUGAAGUCAGUGGCUGACAGGACUGACUGUCCAUGGCAGCUUCCUAGGAAUAUUCCUCUGAAGUUCUUUAGCUGAAGAGGAGCAGGCUAACUUCUGCACCGGAUCAACCAUCAAUUCCUUUCGUUAAGAGACAAUCUGGGAAAGUCCCUGUUUAAUAUACAACAAUGCCAGUGCAAAAGUUCUGAAUGUGAGAGGAAGCAGAAUUCUUCCCUCUGCAAGAAAGCCAUAGGCCAAGGGGAUCCCCCCCCCAGUGGACUAGAUGACUCCCAGGGUCCCUUCCAGAUCUUCCAUUCUAGGGGGUCAACUGCAGUAGACCCUUCAGAUUUCCAAGCAGUCCUCCAGUUACGAAAUUUUCGGGAUAUGGCCGGGCCCCCGGAACGGAUCCUGUUCAUCAUCGGAGGUACCACUGUACAGAAGUCCAUAUAAACCACGUGUCUGAAAUAGUACAGGAGAGCAAUCCUGAAGCCAUUCUGAUUCUCCCAAUGACCUCAAAUAUUCCUCUGCAGGAAGGGAGGCAAAACGUGUCCCAUUUUAGAUUGUUGUCAAAUUCUUUUCUGUUAUUUUUGUAACUGCUUUUUUUUAUGUUGUGCACAUUUGUUUUAUUUAUAUUUGUUAAUUUUACAUACCUCCCUUCAUUUGAAUAUCACAAGGCGGUUUGCAAUAUAAAAACACAAAAAUGCAAAAAUAUAUGACAUUGCCUUGGUGCCAGGGCCAGCACAUCCAUGAGCCAAGGUGAGGUGACUGCCUCAGGCGGCAGAAUCCACAAGGGCAGAAAAUCCCAAAGUCGAUCUUUUUCCCCGCCCUGUUCCUCCUCAACCACCCCUUCUUCCCUGACUGGGGGGCAUUUUGUGGUUCACCUCAGGUACCAAAAUGUGUUGGGCCAGCCCUGCUUGGGACACAGGUAGAAGGCAAUUCAUACAUUAUUGUUAUAGAAUUGAUCAUAAUGACGUUGAAGACUGCACUUGUAGAAUAAUAAUCUUUCUCUGCGGUUUGAUUUGGGGCUUGGAUGUUUGUCCUGGUAACUAGAAAUGCUCCUUCAACGUGCCCCGUCCAUAGCUGUCAACUGUCUCUUAUUUGGCGGGAAACUCCCUUAUCCCAGCGCCGUGUCCCGCUGCUGUCCCUUAUUGAUGAUGUCCCUUAAAUUUCCCAGGUUUCAUGCUUGCCCGGCUCGGGAGGGUAGCAGAGGCUCGGGGUCCUCCGCUGCGAGAGAGCGCGUGCGCUGGCACUGUCGUCCUGUCGCGAGGAAUUCCAUUGGCCCUUCCCCGCCCGAGAGGGGAUGGGAGGGAGAGAGACUCUCGCCCACGCCGCCCGCGAGCCCGGAGGCGGCAGCGGUGGUGGCAGCUGAGGAGGCGGACUGAGGGAGGAGGAAGAGGAGGGGAUGGGGAGGGACGCAGAAGGGCGGCGCUUUAGUGGCUGUCGUGGCACCGCAACCGCCUCAUGCCGGAUUGUCAAUCCUACCAACGUAUGUAACUCUUUACAAUAGCAAAAUCCCUUAUUUUUGAGGCUGCUGGUCCCUUAUUUUCAAAUCUGUAAGUUGACAGCUAUGGCCCCGUCCUGUGUGCAUGAGCUUUUUACCCUUCACAUGGUUAACUCUCGACAUGGAUGGGCCGUGGGGAGAUUUCACAUCUUGGAAGUUGCAUCAGAACAGGAAGUGACUCUCCAUUAUCCCUGCAGGAGAGUGCAAUCAGAUCCAAGACCCAAGUUUUCCGUGAGGACGACCAAAAAUAACAUCAAUUCACUGGGCUGUAAUAAGCUUCAGAUGCCACUGCAACUGGGUUGUGUUUUUUUAAAAUAUAUUCCAGGCAGAAGUUUAAAAAUUGCAUCCUUAGUCAUUUCUGAGCCAAGCGAAACUCUUGCCAGUCAAAGCAGCAACGAGUCCAGGCAGCUGGCUCGAAUCAUAAAUAGUGAUUUAGAGAGGAGAGUGCGAGUUGGGUUUUUCCUACAAUCCUGUCCUUGAGCUCAAGUUACUGGGAACAGAAUCAGGUUUUGUCAACUGGGAUUCCUGAUUCCGUUAGCUGGAAGGAACUAAUCCAUGCUGUUUCGGGAUGCAAACACAUAGGAAUUGCUUCCCGUUAUAUUUUUCAGUGUACACCGAAGAUGUUUCAAAGCACACUAUAAGUGAGUGUUGAAGGAUACUUGGGGUGACCUUAAGGACUCCAGUGCAGAUGGAGAUUUGCUUCCUUUCAGCCUGGCCCCAUUCAUCUGUUAAUUGGAGAGUAGUUAAGGGUGCUGGAAAUUAUAGCACUGGGGGGAGACAAGGGCAGUUCCCAGGUUUCUCUGCGGGAAGCCAUGUGUUUUAAAUGUAUGGAAUGGGUGUGACCUAGCUUGGUGUAAAGAAAAGCUAAAACAAGGGAGGUAAAAAUAAACCCAACCUAUACAAGUGAGAGGGACGCGGGUGGCGCUGUGGGUUAAACCACAAAGCCUAGGACUUGCCGAUCAGAAGGUUGGCGGUUUGAAUCCCCGCAACGGGGUGAGCUCCCGUUGCUUGGUCCCUGCUCCUGCCAACCUAGCAGUUCAAAACCACAUCAAAGUGCAAGUAGAUAAAUAGGUACCACUCUGGCGGGAAGGUAAACGGCAUUUCCAUGCACUGCUCUGGUUUGCCAGAAGCGGCUUAUUCAUGCUGGCCAC
Non-coding RNA from Podarcis lilfordi (Lilford's wall lizard), 2880 nucleotides. Lineage: Eukaryota; Metazoa; Chordata; Lepidosauria; Squamata; Lacertidae. The record is from the annotation of a GenBank genome assembly.